This 460-nucleotide ribosomal RNA is filed under the name uncultured bacterium. RNAcentral's name for it is "partial 16S ribosomal RNA". It matches the Rfam family "Bacterial small subunit ribosomal RNA", at positions 338 to 795 of the family's 1533-position model. The record is from RNAcentral.
CCUACGGGGUGCUGCAGUGAGGAAUAUUGGUCAAUGGGCGAGAGUCUGAACCAGCCAAGUAGCGUGAAGGAUGACUGCCCUAUGGGUUGUAAACUUCUUUUAUAUGGGAAUAAAAUGUUCCACGUGUGGGAUUUUGUAUGUACCAUAUGAAUAAGGAUCGGCUAACUCCGUGCCAGCAGCCGCGGUAAUACGGAGGAUCCGAGCGUUAUCCGGAUUUAUUGGGUUUAAAGGGAGCGUAGGUGGAUUUUUAAGUCAGUGGUGAAAGUUUGCGGCUCAACCGUAAAAUUGCAGUUGAAACUGGCAGUCUUGAGUACAGUAGAGGUGGGCGGAAUGCGUGGUGUAGCGGUGAAAUGCUUAGAUAGCACGAAGAACUCCGAUUGCGAAGGCAGUUCACUGGACUGCAACUGACACUGAGGCUCGAAAGUGUGGGUAUCAAACAGGAUUAGAUACCCGUGUAGUC